This 453-nucleotide ribosomal RNA is filed under the name Triticum aestivum (bread wheat). Its description in RNAcentral is "partial small subunit ribosomal RNA". The record is from RNAcentral. Lineage: Eukaryota; Viridiplantae; Streptophyta; Magnoliopsida; Poales; Poaceae.
AUGACGGUUGCGGCCAAUGCCCCCCGAAUUCUUGCCGAGGAGAUGGUUGCCAUUGAGGCUCGUCUCCAGGCUGCGCAUCGGGCUCUUCACCAUCUGCAGUGUGCUGGAGCUCAAGUGGUCUCCGCCCUUUGGCCGGGCACUCCUGUUCUACACACCGUCAGCCGGACCUCUGACUGGUUGGAGGAGGCCAUCGGCCGCAUCGAGGCGUGGAAGGGCUCCUCCGCUCGGGCAGGUGCUCACCGAGCUUUGGAGUUUGUCAAGGGGUGGUACCCUGGGCUGAAUUUGGACCAGCUUGCCACCCUUCAUGCCGAAGCUGGCACGGAGCUAGAGGCGGUGGCGCCUCAACUUCGUCAUCGUGCCGCGGCGAUCGCCGAGUAUACAGACACCAACUUCUUCCUCCCUGAGCUUGAUGAAGCGGGCACCAACGUCUUCCUCCCAACUGGUUCGGGCUGA